RNAcentral lists this transfer RNA (65 nucleotides) under Ptychoptera scutellaris. RNAcentral describes it as "tRNA-Pro". Lineage: Eukaryota; Metazoa; Arthropoda; Insecta; Diptera; Ptychopteridae. The record is from RNAcentral.
CAGAAAAUAGUUUAUAAAAAAUAUUAAUUUUGGAGAUUAAUGAUAAAGAAGUUCUUUUUUUCUGA